Molecule: ribosomal RNA, 253 nt
Filed under: uncultured bacterium
Lineage: Bacteria
Description: partial 16S ribosomal RNA
Rfam family: Bacterial small subunit ribosomal RNA
Source: RNAcentral
UACGUAGGCAGCAGGCGUUGUUCGGAGUUACUGGGCGUAAAGGGUGUGUAGGCGGUUCUUUAAGUUCGCUGUGAAAUCUCCCGGCUUAACCGGGGGGGGGCGGUGAAUACUGAGGGACUAGAGUACGGGAGAGGAAAGUGGAACUCCUGGUGUAGCGGUGAAAUGCGUAGAUAUCAGGAGGAACACCGGUGGUGUAGACGGCUUUCUGGACCGUAACUGACGCUGAGACACGAAAGCGUGGGUAGCAAACAGG